RNAcentral lists this ribosomal RNA (988 nucleotides) under Serratia sp. R30. RNAcentral describes it as "bacterial SSU rRNA". It matches the Rfam family "Bacterial small subunit ribosomal RNA", at positions 37 to 993 of the family's 1533-position model. The record is from RNAcentral. Lineage: Bacteria; Pseudomonadati; Pseudomonadota; Gammaproteobacteria; Enterobacterales; Yersiniaceae.
UCAUCUAGCGCGUACCAUACUAUGCAAGUCGAGCGGUAGCACAAGAGAGCUUGCUCUCUGCGUGACGAGCGGCGGCCGGUUGAGUAAUGUCUGGGAAACUGCCUGAUGGAGGGGGAUAACUACUGGAAACGGUAGCUAAUACCGCAUAACGUCUUCGGACCAAAGUGGGGGACCUUCGGGCCUCACGCCAUCAGAUGUGCCCAGAUGGGAUUAGCUAGUAGGUGGGGUAAUGUCUCACCGAGGCGACGAUCCCUAUCUGUUCUGAGAGGAUGACAACCCAAACUGGAAAUGACCCAGGUUCAACUCUAAUCGGGAGGCAGCAGUGGGGAAUAUUGUAAAAUGGGCGCAAGCCUGAUGCAGCCAUGCCGCGUGUGUGAAGAAGGCCUUCGGGUUGUAAAGCACUUUCAGCGAGGAGGAAGGGUGGUGUGUUAAUACAUAUCACAUUGACGUUACUCACAAAAAAGCACCGGCUAACUGCGUGCCAGCAGCCGCGGUAAUACGGAGGGUGCAAGCGUUAAUCGGAAUUACUGGGCGUAAAGCGCACGCAGGCGGUUUGUUAAGUCAGAUGUGAUAUCCCCGCACUUAACGUGAGAACUGCAUUAGAAACUGGCAAGCUAGAGUCUUGUAGAGGGGGGAAGAAUUCCGGGUGUAGCGGCAAAGUGCGUAGAGACUCUGGAGGAAUACCGGGGGGCGAAGGCGGCCUCCUGAACAAAGCACUGAUGCUCAGGUGCGAAAGCGGGGGAGAGCAAAGAGGAUUAAAAUACCCUGAUAGUACCACGCUGUUAACGAAUGCUCAACUUGAAGGUUGCCCCUUUUGAGGCGUGCCCUUCGAGAGCAUAACCUGUUAUGGUCAACGGCCUGGGAAAGUACGGCCGCAAGGUAUAAAACUCAAAUUGAAUUGGAGGGGGGGCCCGCAACAGGCGGGGGAAGCAGUUGUUUUAAUUUCGAUUGCAACGCGAAAGACCUUUCACCUUAUUUCUUGACUUCC